AUCACUUGUCUUUUAAAUGGAGACCNGUAUGAAUGGCAUAACGAGGGCUUAGCUGUCUCCUUUCUCCAGUCAAUGAAAUUGAUCUCCCCGUGCAGAAGCGGGGAUAAGNNCAUAAGACGAGAAGACCCUAUGGAGCUUUAGACGCCAAGACAGACCAUGUUAAACACCUCCUCAUAAGGAGCCCAAACCAAAUGGUCCCUGCCCUAGUGUCUUUGGUUGGGGCGACCGCGGGGAAACAUAAAACCCCCAUGUGGAAUGGGAGCACUCUCUCCUACAACUAAGAGCUACAGCUCUAAUGNACAGAAUUUCUGACCAACAAGAUCCGGCAGUGCCGAUCAACGGACCGAGUUACCCUAGGGAUAACAGNGCAAUCCCCUUUUAGAGCCCA
This 388-nucleotide ribosomal RNA is filed under the name Ammodytes tobianus (small sandeel). Its description in RNAcentral is "partial 16S ribosomal RNA". It matches the Rfam family "Bacterial large subunit ribosomal RNA", at positions 1964 to 2502 of the family's 2925-position model. Lineage: Eukaryota; Metazoa; Chordata; Actinopteri; Uranoscopiformes; Ammodytidae. The record is from RNAcentral.